RNAcentral lists this microRNA (20 nucleotides) under Sus scrofa (pig). RNAcentral describes it as "ssc-miR-9795-3p". The record is from miRBase by way of RNAcentral. Lineage: Eukaryota; Metazoa; Chordata; Mammalia; Artiodactyla; Suidae.
CAGAUUUAGGGAGGACGUGC